UUUGACCUCAAAUCAGGUAGGACUACCCGCNGAAC
RNAcentral lists this ribosomal RNA (35 nucleotides) under Leccinum schistophilum. RNAcentral's name for it is "partial 28S ribosomal RNA". Lineage: Eukaryota; Fungi; Basidiomycota; Agaricomycetes; Boletales; Boletaceae. The record is from RNAcentral.